This 12998-nucleotide long non-coding RNA is filed under the name Gossypium barbadense (sea-island cotton). RNAcentral's name for it is "long non-coding RNA (GBAR_LNC004874)". Lineage: Eukaryota; Viridiplantae; Streptophyta; Magnoliopsida; Malvales; Malvaceae. The record is from RNAcentral.
CUAACCCACCAAAAUUAAACCCAAAACCUAAAAUCUUAACUACCCAAAGCCCAAUUUACAUCAAAACCCCAAUGGCCCAAACCCUAAGCCCAAAUCAAAAUAAAAAAACCUAGCCCACAACUUAAACUUUUCUCAACUAGCCACACAUUUUCCACCACCAACUCCACUAGCCACACCUUUUCCACCACCAACUCCACUAGCCACUCCUUUUCCACCACCAACUCCACUAGCCACACCUUCUCCACCACCAAAUCCACUAGCCACACUUGCUCCAUUACCUACUCCACUAACCACAUUUGCUCCACCACCACUUGUACCUACAAAUGAAGACAUAAACAAUAAAAAAAUAUUUUGUAAAUGGCUAUAUAAGCCUUCUCAUAUUUUGUAAAAGGAGGGGGAUUUUUUUUGGAGAGUUUUUGGGAGAGAAAGUUAUUGUAAAGGAUUUUUGGAGAGGUUUCUUUUUAAAGUAAUUAAGGAGAAGAGUUAUUGUGAAGGCUAGUUUUUGGAGAAGCUAGUUUUUUUGAAGAUUAAUCAAAGAUCAAAGCAAAAGAGGUUUUUUUGUCUAUUCUCAUUUUAAGUUCUUUGUUUACUUAUUGUUUUCCUUUCAAUCUUAUUUUGUUUCUUUUAUACGAAAGUAAAAAAAAAAAUAAAAGGAGGAAGCUUACCCAUUUUUACUGAAAAAGUUUUUUUGAGGUCCGGCUGCCGUGUACGGUGGCGCCGGCGGUGGUCCAGCGACCGGACGAUGGCUGACCUUGUGGCCGAAAAUCAUCCACCCUCUCCCUCUCUCUCCUUUUUUGUUAUUAUUAUAUUUCUUAAUAUUAUAUUAUAUAUAUUCUUUUAAUAUAUUAGGUAUAUUUUAAAUUCUAUAUUACGUAUAUAUAUAUUUUAUACUAUUUUAUUUAUAUAUCUUUAAUAUUAUAUUAUUUAUAUAUAUAUUUUUCUACAUGUUAUCUUAUGUAUAUAUCUUAACUAUAUUAUGUAUAUAUUUUUAACACUAUAUUAUGUACAUAUUUUUAAUAUUAUCACGUAUUUAUUUUUUAUAUAUGUACAUAUUGAUGUAGUAUUAUUAAUAGUAUUUUUUUAAACAUCGUUACUAUUUCUAAUAUAUAUAUUAUGUACAUCUUUUUUAUUUCUAUUUUAUUUUUUAUUUUUCAAUAUUAAUUAUUAUUAUUCUAAUAUUUUGAUAUUUUAAUAUUUUAUAUUUUAUAUAUUUUAUUAUUCACAUCAUUGUUCGUAUUUUUUGACAAUAAUAUUCUUGGAUUUUUUUUACUAUCAUUUUAAAAACUUUUUACAUUUUAAUUUUAAGAAUAAGGCAAUGUAUCAAUUUUAACAUUAAGUCAUCGAUUUCAUCGCUAUGUUGGGUGAAAUUAAUCGGCCCGUGUUAAAAACGGGACGUCCUUCUAAAAAACAAAAAAAACUUGCAACUUCUCAUUUCCUUCAAUCGGAUCACACUUAAAUGUCAAAUUGAAUUCGUAUUUUUGAAAAUCAAGACAACAUGUGUUUAAUAAUAUACCAAUUUUGGGCGUCGCGAGGGUGCUAAUACCUUCCUCGCGCGUAACCGACUCCCGAACCCUAAAUUUUCUCUGGAUUUUAACGUAGACCUAAACUCAACCUUUUAUUUGUUUUAAUAAGAGAUCUAAUAGGUGUCCGAUCACACCUAGGAAAAAGGAUCGGUGGCGACUCCCUGUUUAUUUCAAAAAUCAAACGUCAAAUUUCAAACUUUUUUUCAAUAAAUCGCCACAAUUAGCGACCAAGCUAAGCUAAAAUUUUUACGUCGCUACAGCUGGCGACUCCACUGGGGACCCUUUUUGAGAGUCGUGUCUGGAAUUAAACUCGCGUUGUCAAAAUUUUCAAAGUUCCUUGUUCAAAUUAACAUUUAGUCGUGAUCCUCAAAUUUUUUCGUUUUCAAAAUUCAUGCAUUUGUAUCGUGUUGUAAAUAUUUCUUCUAACUUGCUUAUUUGGUUGUUUUUCAGUUUUUAAUUUUUAUGGUUUUAAUUUUGGUUUAGUUUCUUUAAGUGAAACGUAAAGGUUUAUGAGUUGUUCCCCACACACUGUGCACUUGCAUUUUCGCAUAACAUGAGCUCUCUACCCGGGCUCCGUCCGUUUAAGUGAAAGUAAACGCUACGCCUUCGUGAGUUAACUCGUCCCUCCGCACAGGCUAGUGAAUACUUUCGAGUUACAUAUGAUUUAUGCUUUUGUGAGUUAACUUGUCCCUCCGCAUAGGCAUAAGUAAAUGUAACCCCUCGAAUUGAACUCGUGAGCCUGUGAUAGGCUAUGACCGAGGCUCCGUGUUAAUCUUAGUAGAUGAUAGUACGGGCAAUUCGAGUACCUAUCUAGAACCAAAACCGCAUAUAAUGAACCAUACGAGCCACCUAACUAGAGCCAUGCUGAACCUCCGUCCGUUUAGUAGUCACCAAAAUAAGUGCACGGGAGGAACGCCUCUUACCUUUUGCACUUUCGCUUUCUAUGCAAGGGAAUCGAGUCCAUUGGACCAAGUAGCUUAAUUUGUUAGAUUUUCCACAAUUUUUCUCUGAUCAUAUGUGUUUUGCUAACCAAUGUUGUUUGUCUGUAUUUCUAUUUUUCAUCAUGCAUCAUAUACAUCUUGUUAGGAAAGGGUUGAUUAGAGAUUGGUUGCCAAAAAGGGGUUUCUGAUAGAGGAGUCAAUUACACGAGUGACCGAAACGUUGUGUAAUAGACUCUUUUGAUUAAGGAAAUGCCUAAAUAGGGGCUAUCUUGAAAUUAACACCAAUUUCUUGCAUUUCUUUCAUGACUAACAGUCAUUUGACAUUCAUGCAUUCAUUCAUUCAUUGCAUAUUCCAUACUCGUUCGCUGAGGUUAAAACAUACAAUUCGCUAGUUGUGCAUACCAUACGGGAAACCAGGGACAUUCCACGAAAAACUGCCUAGCCUUUAAGAGAAGAGUUCAAGGACUCAUUGAUACAGGUAUCCUACGAUUCGAUAGUGCCAGUAAUGCAACUGGGAACCCAUUCCCUAACCAUAUCGAAAGGGAUGUGAGCAUAGUGGGGAAAGUGGACGAAUAAAAAGUCAGAAGAUGUGUUUCGGAAAUAAGGACGCCUCUGCAGAAAAUCUGGGAGGUACUGGUUAAGAAAGGAUUGCUUUGUCACCCCGAUAGAAUUCUCGGAGAAGAAGGUCAAAGUUUUUGCAAUUUCCAUGGAAUUGUGGGACACGACAUUCAGUCGUGUGAGGAAUUUAAAAGGUUACUUCAAGACCGGAUGGAUAAUAAGGAGAUUAAGAUCCUUAACAAAAGGGAAGAGACCAAUGAAAGAGAAGUAUGCGCCUCUGAUAGCCAUUCAUCAGCUCCCCCUUAUAGCGCUGAUCAACCGUUAGUAAUUUAUUACGAUGCGACGAAAGAGCCAGUGAAACCAAAAAUGAUAAUCGAAGUACCAUCUUCUUUCCCUUACAAGGACAAUAAAGCAGUACCAUGGAAAUAUGACGUUAAUAUCGUCACACCUGAAGAUGAAAAACCCAAAGCCAUGACUGGAAGCGUCGGGGAAUUAGGUCAUUUCACUCGUAGUGGAAGAUAUUAUUCGAAGGAGAUAAAGAAGAACAGUGACUUGAAACAGAAAGGAAAAGCACCGAUGCAUGUGACCGAUGAUGAGCAUGAAACUGCGCCUGAACAAGAAGCUAAAAAUCCUGUGGACGAGGAGGAAGCACAGGAAUUCUUAAAAUUUAUUAAGCAUAGUGAGUACAACGUGGUAGAACAAUUGAGUAAGCAGUUAGCGCGAAUCUCGGUAUUAUCUCUGCUGUUGAAUUCAGAACCACACCGAAACGCUCUGCUGAAAGUGUUAAAUCAAGCUUAUGUGGCAAACAAUGUAUCCGUUGAAAAAUUGGAUAGGUGGAUGAACAACUUGAAUGCGGAUAAUUUCAUUUCUUUUAGUGAUGAUGAAAUACCGCCCAAUGGUAGAGGCUCAGUGAAAGCAUUGCAUAUCACAACCCGUUGCAAGGGCUACAUAAUACCGAACGUGCUCAUCGAUAAUGGUUCGGCACUCAACGUUAUGCCUUUGGCCACGCUUUCCAGAAUUUCGAUGGAUCUGUCCCAUUUAAGGCCCUGUCAUUCUACGGUAAGGGCAUUCGACAGGACAAGGCGUGAAGUCAUGGAAAAAAUUGAGAUCCCUUUGGAAGUGGGUCCCUACAUAUAUGAUGUCGAGUUCCAAGUCAUGGACAUUACAUCCUCAUAUAACUGUCUUUUGGGAAGACCCUGGAUCCAUUCUGCUGGAGCGGUCCCAUCAUCCCUCCAUCAAAAGGUGAAAUUUAUCAUGGAUGGCUGUUUGGUCACUGUCGAGGGAAAAGAAGACAUUGUCGCAUCUAUCUCUACUGAUGCGCCAUACCUUGAAGUGAACAAGGACGUAGUGGAAUGCUCCUUCUGAUCCCUUGAAUUCGUCAAUGCCACAUUCUUCACUGAGGGAAACAAAAUUCCCGUGCCUAAAUUGUUGAGAAAUACUAGAAUGGGUGUCAAGUUGACUGUAGGAAGGGGAGCUCGAGUGAGAAGAGGUUUAGGGAGAUAUCUGCAAGGAAUAGUCAGGGCUCUAAAACCAGUGCAUCAUAAGGCCCGAUACGGUUUGAGGUUCUAGCCGGACAUGCAUCAAAGAAGAAGACAGUGGAAGAAAGAUCAAGAAAGAAGGAUCGCGAGAACCUUAGGCCGAGAACCAGAAUGGGAGCCUAUGGAGUUCCCUCCUUUGUCAAGAACAUUUACGUUUGCGAGAAUGAUAUACCCGAGGCAGGACAAUGCACAAGGCACAAUGUUAAUGAUCGAAAAGGGUUUUCAGAACACCAGUAUAAAUGUCAUUGACAAAGGAGCUGACACAAGUAAGGAUGUCUCAAGGAUACGCCUUUGUCCCCCUGGUUUCAUGUUGAACAAUUGGACUGCCGAGGAUCUUCUUGUAGUUUAUAAGUCUUCAAAGUAAUGCUCAAACUUUAACAUUCUAUUGUGUCCUUAGAUAUAAUAGAAUUCUUUUGUAGGAGCUUGCAUUCGCUCUUUAUCAUUUAAGUGAAUAUCAAUGAAGAUGCAUUUUGUCACGAUUUUUCGCAUUAUCACUAAUUUCAUAAUCAUUUUCUCAUUUCAUAGCCUAUCCUUACAUUUGCCUCAUUGCCAUGACAUAACAUUUUGUUUGUUGUUUCCAAUACUUGGAUGUCCCCCGAUAGCUUCCUUUUCCAUUCAACUUUCAGGUGCUCAGAUAUUGACGACAUGAAUAAGCCCGUUACGAAUCUUGAAAUUGAUUUUGAGAAGGCUGUUUACUUAGGAGAAUUUGAAGCCGAAGAAAAUGCUGAAGAUUAUGUCUCGUCUCCUGAAUUGUUAAGAAUGGUGGAACAAACAGGUUCUGCCUCAUGAAGAAUCUGUGGAAACAAUAAAUUUGGGCACUGAAGAGAGGAAACAAGAAGUGAAGAUUGGGACUUCUAUUUCAGAAAGUACCAGGCAUAGUUUGAUCACUUUACUCCGCGAAUACAAAGAUGUUUUCGCGUGGUCAUACCAGGACAUGCCAGGGCUAGAUGAAGAUUUAGUGGUCCAUAAGCUCCCAUUAAAGCUAGAAUGCAAGCCCAUCCAGCAAAAAUUAAGACGGAUGAGGCCCGAAAUGCUGUUGAAAAUAAAAGAGAAAGUCAAGAAACAAUUUGACGCUGGCUUCCUACAAGCCUCCAAAUAUCCAGAAUGGGUGGCUAACAUAGUCCCGGUACUAAAGAAAGAUGGAAAAGUACGAAUGUGCGUGGAUUACCGUGACCUGAAUCGAGCAAGCCCAAAAGAUAAUUUUCCCUUGCCACAUAUUGACACGUUGGUGGACAACACAGCAAAACAUUCAUUGUUUUCUUUCAUGGAUGGAUUCUCGGGGUAUAAUCAGAUCAAGAUGGCCCCUGAGGAUAUGGAGAAAACUACCUUCAUAACAAUGUGGGGAAUGUUCUGCUACAAGGUGAUGCCAUUCGGGUUAAAGAAUGCUGGGGCAACAUAUCAGAGGGCUAUGGUGACAUUAUUCCAUGACAUGAUGCAUAAGGAAAUAGAGGUCUACGUUGAUGAUAUGAUUGCUAAAUCUCGAGGAGAAGAAGAACAUGUAAUGAACCUCAAGAAGUUGUUCGAAAGGCUGAGAAAGUUUCAGCUAAAGCUUAAUCCAGCCAAAUGUACAUUCGGGGCUACCUCGGGAAAAUUGCUAGGCUUCAUUGUCAGUGAAAGAGGUAUCGAAGUUGAUCUAGAUAAAAUAAAAGCCAUCCAAGAAUUACCUCCCCCGCGCACACAAAAGGAAGUCAGGGGAUUUUUAGGGAGGUUGAAUUACAUUGCUCGAUUCAUUGCUCAACUUACCAACCAAUGCGACCCAAUUUUUCGACUCCUUCAAAAACAUAACCUGGGAGAAUGGAACGAGGAGUGCCAAGUGGCCUUCGAUAAGAUAAAACAGUAUCUGUCUAAUCCUCCUGUACUAGUACCACCGACCCCUAGAAAACCCUUAAUUUUGUACCUGACCGUGUUUGAAAACUCAAUGGGUUGCGUACUGGGGCAACAUGAUGAGUCAGGGAGAAAAGAAAAGGCGAUCUACUACCUCAGCAAAAAGUUCACUGAAUAUGAGGCAAAAUAUUCGUCCGUUGAGAAAUAUUGUUGCGCUCUGGUUUGGGUAGCUCGGAGACUCAGACAAUAUAUGUUGUAUCACACGACAUGGCUAAUUUCAAAGCUGGACCCAAUAAAAUACAUGAUGGAAUCACCGGCACUAUCAGGAAGAAUGGCAUGAUGGCAGCUCCUCCUUUCGGAAUAUGACAUUGCCUAUGUAAGUCAGAAGUCAAUAAAAGGGAGCGCAAUAGCUGACUUCUUAGCAACUCGAACGACAGAGGAAUAUGAGCCUUUAAGAUUCGAUUUCCCAGACGAAGACUUAAUGUGCAUCACAAAAAUAGAAUCCGAGUCAUCAAAAGAGAAGUCAUGGAAGAUGUGCUUUGAUGGUGCGUCAAAUGCUUUAGGGCAUGGAAUUGGAGCAAUCCUGGUAUCACCAGACGGGAAUCAUUAUCCGUUCACUGCAAGACUGAACUUCUUCUGUACCAAUAAUAUCGCAGAAUAUGAGGCCUGUAUCAUGGGGCUUCGUGCAGCUAUCGAACGAAACAUCGAGAUCUUGGAGGUGUACGGGGACUCAGCCCUAGUGAUUUACCAAAUCCGUGGAGAAUGGGAAGUGAGGGACUCAAAAUUGAUUAAGUACAGCGAUUUAGUGGCUGGAUUGAUCAAGGAAUUCAAAGAAAUAACUUUUCAUUACUUCCCACGAGAAGAGAACCAACUGGCUGAUGCCCUAGCGACUUUGGCUUCAAUGUUCAAAGCAAGUAGAGAAGCAGAAAUAAUGCCCCUCAAAAUGAGCAUAUACGAGGUCCCUGCACACUGUUGUAGCAUUGAGAAAGAAGUAGACGGACGGCCUUGGUUCCAUGAUAUCUUAGAAUAUACCAAGAAUCAAAGGUAUCCCGAACAAGCGAAUGAGAACGAUAAAAGAAUAAUUAGAAGAAUGGCAGCGGGAUUUGUUCUUGAUGGGGAUAUCCUGUAUAAAAGAGGAAAGGAUCAGAUGCUUUUGAGAUGUGUGGAUGAUGUUGAAGCCAGAAAAAUACUUGAAGAGGUCCAUGAGGGAAUUUGCGGAAUGCAUGCCAAUGGUUUCAAUAUGGCCAGAAAGAUCAUGAGACUCAGUUAUUAUUGGCUGACAAUGGAAAGUGACUACAUCAAUUUUGCCAGAAAAUGCCACAAAUGUCAAAUCUACGGCGAUAAAAUUCAUGUAGCCCCUUCACCCCUUCAUGUCAUGACUUCUCCGUGGCCUUUUUCUAUGUGGGGCAUGGAUGUCAUAGGGCCAAUUUCUCCAAAAGCUUCAAAUGGACAUCGAUUCAUUUUUGUGGUUAUCGAUUACUUCACAAAAUGGAUUGAAGCCGCUUCGUUUGCCAAUGUGACGAAGACUACAGUGUGCAAGUUUUUGAAAAAGGAAAUCAUUUGCCGAUAUGGUUUGCCUGAAAGAAUCAUCUCAGAUAAUGUCACGAAUCUGAACAAUAAGAUGAUGAAAGAAGUGUGCGAGCAGUUCCAAAUAAAGCAUCAUAAUUCCUCGCCCUAUCGCCCAAAGAUGAACGGGGCUGUUGAAGCAGCUAACAAGAACAUUAAGAGGAUCAUUGGGAAAAUGACUGAGACAUAUAAAGAUUGGCACGAGAAACUUCCAUUUGCUUUGUUUGCAUAUCGCACAUCUGUGCGAACAUCUACGGGAGCAACUCCUUUCUCUCUAGUUUAUGGAAUGGAAGCUGUACUACCUAUCGAGGUUGAGAUCCCCUCUCUGCGAGUAUUGAUGGAAUCAAAGUUAGAAGAAGCAGAAUGGGUUCGAGCUCGAUAUGAUCAGUUGAACCUCAUUGAAGAAAAACGUCUAAGGGCAAUUUGUCAUGGGCAAAUGUACCAAAAGAGAAUGAUCGCAGCCCAUGACAAGAAGGUACGACCAAGAGAGUUCCAUGAAGGAGAACUCGUUCUGAGAAAGAUUCACCCAAUACAAAAAGACCUGCGAGAAAAAUGGGCACCAAAUUGGGAAGGACCAUACGUUGUAAAAAAGGCAUUCUCAGGAGGAGCUUUAAUCCUUACCGAGAUGGAUGGGAAGGAGUUACCGAAUCCGGUGAAUUCAGAUGCGGUGAAGAAAUAUUAUGCUUAAGAUGAAAACCCGAAAAGGGCAUCUUAAAAAAAAGGGAUCAGGGCGAAAACCCGAAAAGGGCGUCUUGAUUAGUACAAAAAGAUUAGGAUGAAAACCCGAGAGGGCGUCCUAAUGAAACAAACCUGGCGGUCGAACGAUAGGUCAAGUAGUGAGACUACAGUAUUUGAAGCACUUCUGAAAGCUCGAAAUUUUCUACGCAAGAAGCCAUGCUCGAAAAGAUUAUUGAUUGAGGAACGUGGAAGAGUUCAUGUGUUGAAUAUCUAGAGCAUUUGUAUCCGUUGAAUACGACCUUUUCUUUCUUUUUGACAUUUUUACUCUCAUUGGUUAACUUUCUUUGUUUGCCACAUUUGAAAUAAAGGAAUAUGAGAUAUCCUUUUUAUCCCUACCUGACCAUUUUCAUGCAUCUCAUUAUGUGUUUAUUUAAUGAUAAAUAGUGAAAUGACAUACUCUAAACAAAAGAAAUGUCAAGCAUUACCCGGAUAAGAAUUCGAUAAGUGCAAGAUCUUCAAAGCAAGAACAAAGUUUAACCAAGGGCAAAAGGGUGAUAUCUGAGAAACGUCGAUUACUCGUAAAGCUCGAAGGUAGGUAUGAGGCCUGAAGAGAAGGUCGAGAAUCAAAGCAAUGAACGCAGAUCCUCAACAAUCAUGGCGAAAAUGACAUACGACCAAUAUGCUUAAGGAGCACUGCAUAAUCAUGUAGGCAUAAAGGCAUUUAAGACAAACAUGUGCAUAUCAUGAUGACAUCAUGCAUGGCAUAUACAGGUAAUCCAGUAAAGCAAGAAAUCUUGAAUGAGAGUCGCACUGAAUCAAAGGAAAAGAUACCCGAGUUCUACCAAAGGACUGGUUUUGGUAUUUUGAUGUUUAAUAUUCAUGCUUUCCAAGGAAAAUCAACUCAUAUUGCGAGAGAUGAGUUGAGCCUCAAGACACGUUGAUGUAUUUUUAAUUUUUUUUUUCAAAAUCAACUCAUAUUGCGAGAAGUGAGUUGAGCCUCGGGGCACGCCGAGGUAUUUUUAGUUUAUGUUUUAAAUUGACUCAUAUUGCGAGAGGUGAGUUAAGCCUUUUAAUUUUUGUUUUUCAAAAUCAACUCAUAUUGCUAGAGGUGAGUUGAGCCUCAGGACACGCUGAGGUAAUUUCAAUUUCUGUUGUUAAAAAAAAAUCAACUCAUAUUGCGAGAAAUGAGUUGAGCCUCAGGACACGCUGAGGUAAUUUCAAUUUCUGUUUUUAAAAUUCAACUUAUAUUGCGAGAAAUGAGUUGAGCCUCAAGACACGUUGAGGUAUUUUCAAUUUCUGUUUUCAAAAAAAAAAAAUCAACUUAUAUUGCGAGAGGUGAGUUGAGCCUCGGUUCACAUGCUGAGGUAUUUUCAAUUUCUGUUUUUAAAAAAAAAAAAUCAACUCAUAUUGCGAGAGGUGAGUUGAGCUUCAGAUUACACACUGUGGUAUUUUUUCAAUUCAUAUUGCGAGAGGUGAGUUGAGCCUCAGGACACGAUGAGGUAAUUUCAAUUUCUGUUUGUCAAGAAUCAACUCAUAUUGCGAGAGGUGGGUUGAACCUUUUAAUUUCUACUUUUUCAAAAUCAGCUCAUAUUGCAAGAGGUGAGUUGAGCCUCGGGGCACGCUGAGGUAUUUUCAAUUUUUGUGUUUUAAUUUCAACUCAUAUUGCGAGAGGUGAGUUGAGCCUCAGGACACGCUGAGGUAUUUUCAAUUUUCGUUUUUUUAAUUUAUGUUUAAAAAAAAUCAACUCAUAUUGCGAGAAGUGAGUUGAUCCUCAAGACGCUGAGGUAAUUUCAAUUUUUGUUUGUCAAAAAUCAACUCAUAUUGCGAGAGGUGAGUUGAGCCUCAGGACACGCUGAGGUGGUUUUAAUUUAUGUUCAUAAAAAAUUAGCUCAUAUUGCAAGAGGUGAGUUGAGCCUUGGCUCACACGCUGAGGUAUUUUCAAUUUCUGGUUUUCAAUUUCUGUUUUUCAAAAAUCGACUCAUAUUGCGAGAGGUGAGUUGAGCCUCGGGACACGCUGAGGUAAUUUCAAUUUCUGUUUGUCAAAAAUUAACUCAUAUCGCGAGAGGUGAGUUGAGCCUCGGCUCACAUGCUGAGGUCUUUUCAAUUUCUGUUCUUCAAUUUCUGUUCGUAAAAAAAAAUCAACUCAUAUUGCGAGAGGUGAGUUGAGCCUCAGGACACGCUGAGGUAAUUUCAAUUUCUGUUUUCAAAAUUCAACUUAUAUUGCGAGAAAUGAGUUGAGCCUCAAGACACGUUGAGGUAUUUUCAAUUUCUGUUUUCAAAAAAAAAAAAAAAUCAACUUAUAUUGCGAGAGGUGAGUUGAGCCUCGGUUCACAUGCUGAGGUAUUUUCAAUUUCUGUUUUUUUUUUAAAAUCAACUCAUAUUGCGAGAGGUGAGUUGAGCUUCAGAUUACACACUGUGGUAUUUUUUUCAAUUCAUAUUGUGAGAGGUGAGUUGAGCCUCAGGACACGAUGAGGUAAUUUCAAUUUCUGUUUGUCAAGAAUCAACUCAUAUUGCGAGAGGUGGUUUGAACCUUUUAAUUUCUACUUUUUCAAAAUCAGCUCAUAUUGCAAGAGGUGAGUUGAGCCUCGGGGCACGCUGAGGUAUUUUCAAUUUUUGUGUUUUAAUUUCAACUCAUAUUGCGAGAGGUGAGUCGAGCCUCAGGACACGCUGAGGUAUUUUCAAUUUUCAUUUUUUUAAUUUAUGUUUCAAAAAAAAUCAACUCAUAUUGCGAGAAGUGAGUUGAGCCUCAAGACGCUGAGGUAAUUUCAAUUUUUGUUUGUCAAAAAUCAACUCAUAUUGCAAGAGGUGAGUUGAGCCUCAGGACACGCUGAGGUGGUUUUAAUUUAUGUUCAUAAAAAAUUAGCUCAUAUUGCAAGAGGUGAGUUGAGCCUUGGCUCACACGCUGAGGUAUUUUCAAUUUCUGUUUUUCAAAAAUCGACUCAUAUUGCGAGAGGUGAGUUGAGCCUCGGGACACGCUGAGGUAAUUUCAAUUUCUGUUUGUCAAAAAUUAACUCAUAUUGCGAGAGGUGAGUUGAGUCUCGGCUCACAUGCUGAGGUCUUUUUAAUUUCUGCUUUUCAAUUUCUGUUUUUUUCAAUUUAUAUUUUUCAAAAAUCAACUCAUAUUGCGAGAUGUGAGUUGAGCCUUGGGUUCACAUGUCGAGGUAUUUUCAAAAUCUACUUUUGCGAGAAGUGAGUUGAGCCUUUGCUCACGUGCUGAGCUAUUUUCAAUUUCUGCUUUUCAAAAGAAUCAACUCAUAUUGUGAGAGGUGAGUUGAGCCUUUGCUCACGUGCUGAGCUAUUUUCAAUUUUUGCUUUUCAAAAAAAUCAACUCAUAUUGCGAGAGGUGAGUUGAGCCUCGGGUCACACGCUGAGGCAUUUUCAAUUUCUGCUUUUCAAAAAUCAACUCAUAUUGCGAGAUGUGAGUUGAGCCUUGGGUUUACAUGUCGAGGUAUUUUCAAAAUCUACUUUUGCGAGAGGUGAGUUGAGCCUUGGCUCACAUGCUGAGCUAUUUUCAAUUUCUGUUUUUAAUGUCUAGUUUUACAGAGUCAAUUCAUAUUGCGAGAAAUGAGUUGAGCUCAGGAUCACAUGCCGAGUAAAGAAUCAAUAUUAGAGCUGAUUGAAGACACCAGAUUUUGUCUCCCUGAAGUUGCAGUGGAGUUGAUCGAGGAUAUCAGAUCUUGCCUUUCUAAAGUGGCAGAAGAGAAGACCCAAAACCUUAUCUCACUGAAGCGAUAGAAGAGCAUAUUGAAUUACAUUGGAACAGAUUGAAGCUAUAAGGCAUAUCUCCGAAUUUGCAGUGGAUUGAACCAAAGCUACAAGAUGCGAUGGACUGGAAAGAGACUACCUGGAUGAGAAGAGCACCAAAGAAGUCCAUACUUAGCAAGACCGGGCAAAAUUGGCCUUUCUUUAUAUCUUUGCUCUAUUCUCGUUACACGAUAAUAAGCAAAGAGAGGCAGCUGUUGUAGGCCAAUUUUAGCCCAUUUACAUCAAAACCCAAUUUAGCCUUACCUAACCCACCAAAAUUAAACCAAAAACCCAAAAUCUUAACUACCCAAAGCCCAAUUUACAUCAAAACCCCAAUGGCCCAAACCCUAAGCCCAAAUCAAAAUAAAAAAACCUAGCCCACAACUUAAACUUUUCUCAACUAGCCACACAUUUUCCACCACCAACUCCACUAGCCACUCCUUUUCCACCACCAACUCCACUAGCCACACCUUCUCCACCACCAAAUCCACUAGCCACACUUGCUCCAUUACCUACUCCACUAACCACACUUGCUCCACCACCACUUGUACCUACAAAUGAAGACAUAAACAAUAAAAAAAUAUUUUGUAAAUGGCUAUAUAAGCCUUCUCAUAUUUUGUAAAAGG